UUUAAUAUGGCAGAUUAAGUGCAUUGGAUUUAAACCCCAAAAAAAAAAACCUCUCAUUUUUUUAUUAAAA
This 70-nucleotide transfer RNA is filed under the name Nylanderia flavipes. RNAcentral's name for it is "tRNA-Leu". Lineage: Eukaryota; Metazoa; Arthropoda; Insecta; Hymenoptera; Formicidae. The record is from RNAcentral.